ACGUAGGGGGCAAGCGUUAUCCGGAUUUACUGGGUGUAAAGGGAGCGUAGACGGCAUGGCAAGCCAGAUGUGAAAGCCCGGGGCUCAACCUCGGGACUGCAUUUGGAACUGUCAGGCUAGAGUGUCGGAGAGGAAAGCGGAAUUCCUAGUGUAGCGGUGAAAUGCGUAGAUAUUAGGAGGAACACCAGUGGCGAAGGCGGCUUUCUGGACGAUGACUGACGUUGAGGCUCGAAAGCGUGGGGAGCAAACAG
Molecule: ribosomal RNA, 251 nt
Filed under: uncultured bacterium
Lineage: Bacteria
Description: partial 16S ribosomal RNA
Rfam family: Bacterial small subunit ribosomal RNA
Source: RNAcentral